GAAAUUGCAAAUUUACUUUAUUUGUGUCUUUUCUUAACGCUUUGAAGUAAAAUUCACCAAGAAAUCUGUAUUUAAACGGGCGUAAAAUAUGUUGAGCCCCCCAAAAGAAAACCAGCAAAUAAAAUUGCUCAAGGGGCGGGAAAAGGCCGGUUUCUCGGUUAUUUUUAUCCUUUUUUUUACGAGCGCCUGAUUUUACCACGAUGCUUCGUUUGUUACAUUGUGCCGAUUGUUGGUUCUUGAGUGUGGCGCCCACCGUCAUGCACAGGACGUCCCUUUCUGACUGUACUUUGGGGUUAGGCUGCGCCCCCACCCCUCCCCUCCCUGUCCAUGUUUCCCUGCUACAGCCAGUAUAUACACAAACAAUGCAGAAUCUUUGCAACAUCUACAGAAUGGUGGCGAACGUACUGACUUUGUAUCUUUUUAUAACGUUGAUUAUUUCUGUUCCUGUCCAAUCGUUUGACUACACAUUUGUCAUUUUAAUUUUCUUUUCCCAAAAAAUCAGAUGAAGGUUCAUCUGUUGACAAGGUGGAACACAAGCCCGAUAGCGGAGGCAAUUCGAACAACACAGAUUCUAAUGAUGUUCCAAGCAAUGGUGCCACCGCGAAUGUUGGAGACACAGGGUCGGGUACAACAGACGACAAACACGAUCUAGUUGUUGAUGUUGCAAACAAUGACACCACCCCGAAAGUUGGAGACACUGGGUCGGGUACAUCAGACGACAAACACGAUCUUGUUGUUGGUAAGUUAUUUUGUCUGUUCAUGCACACUUUUGCCAUAGUCAUUUAAAAUGAUCAAUA
This is a long non-coding RNA of Aplysia californica (California sea hare), 797 nucleotides long. RefSeq lists it as uncharacterized. NCBI's taxonomy places the organism in Eukaryota, Metazoa, Mollusca, Gastropoda, Aplysiida, Aplysiidae. The transcript is spliced from 3 exons. The record is from RefSeq and is a predicted model, not a curated record.